This 255-nucleotide ribosomal RNA is filed under the name Triticum aestivum (bread wheat). Its description in RNAcentral is "partial small subunit ribosomal RNA". The record is from RNAcentral. Lineage: Eukaryota; Viridiplantae; Streptophyta; Magnoliopsida; Poales; Poaceae.
AAUACGUGGAGAAGGUGGUCCGGGUCGGCGUCGGCUCCGUCCGGCGCGGGCCACGGGCCUGCUUCCAAGUGUGUCUGCGCGCCGACCACCCACGCCGGGUCCUUCAAGUGCCGCUUCCACCGCACCAACUCCCAGGGCCACGGCCAGGGACAAGGAAGCCGCCCUUCUUUGCCCCCUUCAUCGACCGCGGCCAACACGGUGCCGCGGCACCCGGCCUCACCGUCCUCGUCCUCCUGCACCGUCGUGACCCAGUGA